RNAcentral lists this ribosomal RNA (468 nucleotides) under uncultured bacterium. RNAcentral describes it as "partial 16S ribosomal RNA". It matches the Rfam family "Bacterial small subunit ribosomal RNA", at positions 28 to 507 of the family's 1533-position model. The record is from RNAcentral.
GACGAACGCUGGCGGCGUGCUUAACACAUGCAAGUCGAACGGAAAGGCCCUGCUUUUGUGGGGUGCUCGAGUGGCGAACGGGUGAGUAACACGUGAGUAACCUGCCCUUGACUUUGGGAUAACUUCAGGAAACUGGGGCUAAUACCGGAUAGGAGCUCCUGCUGCAUGGUGGGGGUUGGAAAGUUUCGGCGGUUGGGGAUGGACUCGCGGCUUAUGAGCUUGUUGGUGGGGUAGUGGCUUACCAAGGCUUUGACGGGUAGCCGGCCUGAGAGGGUGACCGGCCACAUUGGGACUGAGAUACGGCCCAGACUCCUACGGGAGGCAGCAGUGGGGAAUAUUGCACAAUGGGCGGAAGCCUGAUGCGGCAACGCCGCGUGCGGGAUGACGGCCUUCGGGUUGUAAACCGCUUUCGCCUGUGACGAAGCGUGAGUGACGGUAAUGGGUAAAGAAGCACCGGCUAACUACGUG